UGCUCAGUGAAAUGACCUGUCCUGAUUUGUCAUAGACGCUUGCUAAAAAACUUUUUGCAAUUCUUCCUUCAUGAACUGGCCUCUGAAAACGGUAUAGAAUCAGCUUGAUCCCCUCUGUCGAAGAUGCUUGGACCUUCUUUUUGGAUAUUUUCAGUGGUAUUGUUAAAGGUCCUCAAUGAUGUCAUCAUUGCCCAUGAUUCUAAGCAAUAUAGCCCUUAUGCACAUUCCAUGAUCUAACGUUCUAAACACACUUCAUAUCGGUGCGGCAAUUUCCGGUCAGUUUAGUUGUUAUCGAGGAUAUAACGUUACUACCACUAUGUCGCAGUUUUUUACUAGGUGUCUUCAGGCCUCAAAUUAAUAUUAAUGAUGUACAUCGAAUUGUUAAAUCAGCUUCAGAGACUCCAGCUAGCAAGAAUGAAGAGGGGUUCGAGAUGUAUAUAGGAAGCUACAUAGACAACUACGAAGUAUCUAACAAAGAUACAUUGACAGGGGAGAUCACCGUGAGGGCUGCCUGUCACAGGUCCAUGAGGAAGAGUGAAAAGCUGCACAGCAUGAGAAUGGUGUUAAAGCACUCCGUACCAGUGAUAGUGGUCCAAAGCCACUGCUCCUGUGUUGCAGGAAGUGCUCUGUGCAAUCAUCUGGUGGCCCUUUACCAGACAGCGCACUACUCUCAAUGAAACAUUCCUGCUGCACCACCAGUUCACAGCUGCACAGACACAGAACAGCGUUGGCACAAGCCAAGAACACUUGGUGUGAAGCCAGGUCCGGUUGAUGGGAUAGAGUUCCGUAAACCAACUAACUCGUGUGCUGAUGGAAUAAGAAGUUCUCUCUACAAAGCACUCAAUGGAUACAUGCCUGACAUGGACCUUCUCCGCGUCUCAGAACCGUAUGGCAACUUUUCUCCACUUACUGCCCCUCUUGUGACAACAAUGGAAAUGUCAGCUGACCUGCCCCUGGUUGAGUCCGCCUUUGGGCCAGUGUAAGCCGGCAGUGUGCUGUCCUAUCAGCUUCCACAGCCAAAGACCAGUGAAAUUGUGAAGAUUGCCGAUGUCACUUAUCCACCAAUACUUCCAUUAGAUGGCUACAGGCUUCAGGCUUCCCAGUGUGCUUACGUCCUUAGCCAUCAGGAGCAGUUGCACCUCAAGGCGUUAGAGACAACCUACGAGAUGUCACACAAAGUCAAGGUUGCUACAAGGGAGCGGAGCAGCAGCCCGGAAUGGCAUCAGCUCAGGAAAAUGAGAAUAACAUCAUCUCGCUUCCAAGAGGUUUGCCAAGGUUUGCCAUGUCCGGGGAGAGACCUCAGCUGACCAUCUAGCUGAGCGGAUGUUCAAGGGAUCUGGUAUGCAGACCAUGGAUAUGAAGAGGGGGCUAGCCAUGGAGCCAGUGGCUGUACAGGGAUCAGGUAUGCAGACCAUGGAUAUGAAGAGAGGGCUAGCCAUGGAGCCAGUAGCUGUACAGGAGUACGGCACACUGAAGAAUGUUAACUUCUUUCCGUGUGGCUUCGUAGUGCACCCAGAUGCUCUGUGGUUUGGAUCCUCUCCAGAUGGAAUCAUAUUUGAUCCCAGUGUGAGACCACACUUUGGAUUCUUAGAGGUCAAGUGCCCAAAUGUACCAAGUUAUGUUGACUGCCCUUAUCUGAAGAUACAGAAUGGAGAGCUGAAGUUGAAGAGAUCUCAUGCUUACGCCUGCUCAUGCAGGUGCAAGGUCAAAUCCUUCUCACAGGUUGUAGCUGGUGUGACUUUGUCAUCUGUACACAGGAGGACAUCCUAGUUGAAAGGAUAUAUACAGAUCUACAGGUUUCAAAAGCUACAAGAGAGAAGGUUGACCACUUUUAUUUUUCCACUACUUGCAGAACUGUCUCUCGCACCUGAAUGGAUCCCCUGCAUGGGUGCCAAGUUUAGUGGUUUUAUGAAAAAUAAGUAUUGAUGUUCUUGUGAAGAAAUCUACAGUAGAAUAGAUUUGUUUAAAAAUAUAUAUAUUUCAGCAAAUGUUCAACAGUUCAGUUAAUCAAUUACACAUCUCUAACAUUGUAUUCAGUCUUGCAUUCUGGUUAUUCUGUUUACUUGAUUUCUUUCCCCCACCCCUGUUACUCAUUGCCUAAUUAAAGCCAAUACAAGCUCCACACAAACUGAUAUUCACUACAACACAAAUGACUGAUACAUGUCGUAGAUAAACAAAUUAUUAUUUUGCUGUUAGCAAAUAAAC
Molecule: long non-coding RNA, 2205 nt
Organism: Oncorhynchus tshawytscha (Chinook salmon)
Lineage: Eukaryota; Metazoa; Chordata; Actinopteri; Salmoniformes; Salmonidae
Source: Ensembl